Molecule: transfer RNA, 83 nt
Filed under: Nitrospirota bacterium
Lineage: Bacteria; Pseudomonadati; Nitrospirota
Also listed under: 1 other name
Description: tRNA-Leu
Rfam family: tRNA
About the family: Transfer RNA (tRNA) molecules are approximately 80 nucleotides in length. Their secondary structure includes four short double-helical elements and three loops (D, anti-codon, and T loops). Further hydrogen bonds mediate the characteristic L-shaped molecular structure. tRNAs have two regions of fundamental functional importance: the anti-codon, which is responsible for specific mRNA codon recognition, and the 3' end, to which the tRNAs corresponding amino acid is attached (by aminoacyl-tRNA synthetases). tRNAs cope with the degeneracy of the genetic code in two manners: having more than one tRNA (with a specific anti-codon) for a particular amino acid; and 'wobble' base-pairing, i.e. permitting non-standard base-pairing at the 3rd anti-codon position.
Source: RNAcentral
GCGAGAGUGGCGGAACUGGCAGACGCGCAGGACUUAGGAUCCUGUGGGAGACCGUAGGGGUUCAACUCCCCUCUCUCGCACCA